CCAAAUUUACGAAUAAAGAUCACAGGUAUUGCAGGCUAUCAAGACUACUCAGCAGUUACACUUCUAAAUAUUCUUCAAGGAAGUUUUGGAGUCUGCUUAAAGACCCCAUUCAAUAUUUUUGGAAGUUUCCCCUUUCCAUUUUGUAUGUAAUUCCUUUAUAUAGUGGCGGUAUUUAGAAUUAAUUCAGGAUUCUAAUAAUAAACUGGGAAAAUUAGUUGUAGAAGAAUUUUAUUUGUAGGGUAUUUGGUCUCCGUUUGGGGGUAAAGUAUGGAGGUUGAUGAGUUUGGAGCAUUACAGGACUAAAAGAUGAGGAAGGUUGUUGUUAUGUAUAUGAAUUACAUAUACUAAGACAUUGUAAAGCAUUACUGGUAAAUGGAAUAUGUUUAAAAAUGUAUUGCUAUCCAUCUAUUGGUUCGAUGGCCCACUUGAUAAAAAC
RNAcentral lists this long non-coding RNA (436 nucleotides) under Jatropha curcas. RNAcentral's name for it is "long non-coding RNA (JCUR_LNC003145)". The record is from RNAcentral. Lineage: Eukaryota; Viridiplantae; Streptophyta; Magnoliopsida; Malpighiales; Euphorbiaceae.